AACGCGAAGAACCUUACCUACCCUUGACAUGCCAGGAACCUCGGAGAGAUUCGAGGGUGCCCGAAAGGGAGCCUGGACACAGGUGCUGCAUGGCUGUCGUCAGCUCGUGUCGUGAGAUGUUGGGUUAAGUCCCGCAACGAGCGCAACCCUUGCCACUAGUUGCUACAUUUAGUUGGGCACUCUAGUGGGACUGCCGGUGACAAACCGGAGGAAGGUGGGGAUGACGUCAAGUCCUCAUGGCCCUUAUGGGUAGGGCCUCACACGUCAUACAAUGGCCGGUACAGAGGGUUGCCAACCCGCGAGGGGGAGCCAAUCCCAGAAAGCCGGUCGUAGUCCGGAUUGUAGUCUGCAACUCGACUACAUGAAGUCGGAAUCGCUAGUAAUCGCGGAUCAGCAUGUCGCGGUGAAUACGUUCCCGGGCCUUGUACACACCGACAUA
Molecule: ribosomal RNA, 439 nt
Filed under: uncultured bacterium
Lineage: Bacteria
Description: bacterial SSU rRNA
Rfam family: Bacterial small subunit ribosomal RNA
Source: RNAcentral